RNAcentral lists this ribosomal RNA (468 nucleotides) under uncultured bacterium. RNAcentral describes it as "partial 16S ribosomal RNA". It matches the Rfam family "Bacterial small subunit ribosomal RNA", at positions 28 to 507 of the family's 1533-position model. The record is from RNAcentral.
GACGAACGCUGGCGGCGUGCUUAACACAUGCAAGUCGAACGGAAAGGCCGUGCUUAUGUGGGGUGCGCGAGUGGCCACGGGGGGAGUAACCCGUGAGUAACCUGCCCUUGACUUUGGGAUAACUUCAGGAAACUGGGGCUAUUACCGGAUAGGAGCUCCCGCUGCAUGGUGGGGGUUGGAAAGUUUCGGCGGUUGGGGAUGGACCCGCGGCUUAUCAGCUUGUUGGGGGGGUAGUGGCCUACCAAGGCUUGGACGGGUAGCCGGGCUGGGGGGGUGAGCGGCCACAUUGGGACUGAGAUACGACCCGGACUAGUACGGGAGGCAGCAGUGCGGAAUAUUGCAUACUGGACGGGAGCCUGAUGCAGCAACGCCGCGUGCGGGAUGUCGGCCAUCUGUUUGUAAAGCGCUUUCGCCUGUGACGAAGCGUGAAUGACGGUAAUGGGUAAAGAAGCCCCGGCUAACUACGUG